CUACACCCCUUCCAGAGUAUCAAUUGGAGGGCAAGUCUGGUGCCAGCAGCCGCGGUAAUUCCAGCUCCAAUAGCGUAUAUUAAACUUGUUGCAGUUAAAAAGCUCGUAGUUGAAUUUCUGCUGCUUCGCCUUCGUCCGUUUUUCGGUUUCGUUUGCGUGGUGGCUUUUUCCGGAUUGCUUGCGCUUUCCGGACUUUACUUUGAGAAAAUUAGAGUGCUUCAAGCAGGCUAUUGCCUUGAAUACUUUGCAUGGAAUAAUGAAGUAGGACUUUGGUUCUAUUUUGU
RNAcentral lists this ribosomal RNA (284 nucleotides) under Theileria sp. RNAcentral's name for it is "partial small subunit ribosomal RNA". It matches the Rfam family "Eukaryotic small subunit ribosomal RNA", at positions 525 to 844 of the family's 1831-position model. The record is from RNAcentral. Lineage: Eukaryota; Apicomplexa; Aconoidasida; Piroplasmida; Theileriidae.